AUACCUUUCUCGGCCUUUUGGCUAAGAUCAAGUGUAGUAUCUGUUCUUAUCAGUUUAAUAUCUGAUAUGUGGGCCAUGUGCCCAUAGUGAUAUUAAAUUUAUUUUUUGUGGGGGAAGGACCACCACAAUGGCUUGCCAUUGGGUCCCUUGGGUGUCGCCCGGUGCGUUGCACUACUGCCUGGGCAGGCACACCCCAA
This is a non-coding RNA of Triticum urartu, 197 nucleotides long. NCBI's taxonomy places the organism in Eukaryota, Viridiplantae, Streptophyta, Magnoliopsida, Poales, Poaceae. The record is from Rfam.